GUAACGGCGAGUGAAGCGGGAACAGCUCAGACUGAAAAUCCUUUAUUGGAGUUGUAGUCUGCAGAAGUCCAGUCAGCGCGGGCGGCAGGCCAAGUCCCUUGGAAAAGGGCGCCUGAGAGGGUGAUAGCCCCGUUUUUGCCGGCCGCCUUUCAAGUAAUAGCGCGUACGACGGACUUUCAACGAGUCGAGUUGCUUGGGAUUGCAGCUCAAAGUGGGUGGUAAAUUCCAUCUAAGCUAAAUAUCGGUGGGAGACCGAUAGCGAACAAGUACCGUGAGGGAAAGAUGAAAAGCACUUUGAAAAGAGAGUGAAAGAGUACCUGAAAUUGCUGAAAUGGAACCGUAGUGAAGCAGUGUUGGGCUGCACCCAGAGCACCGUUCCGCUUGCGGAUGGUGUGAGGUGGUGUGGCCGAGUCAGGGUGGGUUUGUUGCGCGGGAGAGGGGGGCCGAUUCUUGCUGCGAACGGGCACUUGUGCUCUUUGGCAAGGUGGCAUUUUCCCGCCGUGCGAUAGACUCUGACUAGGCUGUGAAAGCCGUGACCU
Molecule: ribosomal RNA, 539 nt
Filed under: uncultured fungus
Lineage: Eukaryota; Fungi
Description: eukaryotic LSU rRNA
Rfam family: Eukaryotic large subunit ribosomal RNA
Source: RNAcentral